RNAcentral lists this transfer RNA (54 nucleotides) under Oxyuris equi. RNAcentral's name for it is "tRNA-Ser". Lineage: Eukaryota; Metazoa; Nematoda; Chromadorea; Rhabditida; Oxyuridae. The record is from RNAcentral.
GAUGAGUUAGAGCGAGUCUUCUAAACUCGUGUUGGUUGUUGGGGCCACUCAUUU